CUGGGGCCCUCAGCAAGGCUUCGGCUGGCCUUCUCGGAGUUGGGGUCUGGCCCUCUUUGGAGAGUGGGGGUGACCGGCCUCCGCUCGUCUGCACCCCCGGGUGUCAUGCAGGAGGCAGGCGGGCAUGGGAUCUCUCUGGGAAGCACUGCCCUACAGUAAGAAGCAUAUCUGACAGCCUUGUGCAAGAGAAUUGGAGAAAAAUAGUGAAACAACCAAAAAGGCCAACAGGAAGCACAAUAUCAGGAAGAGGAACUGGGAACAAGAAUGAGGACAAGCUUAUUCAAGAGGAUGGGCCCAGUAAUGGGGAACAUCAAGAGAUAUGCCCAAGAACAGUGUCAUCUACUUGUGGAUUCAAAGAAUCUCAAGAAACACCUUCAGGUGACAUUGCCCAGAAUCUUAAAUUAGAGAAAUCUCAAGACAACCCCUUGAAGAUUGGGGGCUGGGUACCUCUCCCAGACUGUGAACUCACUGGCCACAGGAAACCUGUGCCUGGUGAGAGACCCUACAGCCACACUGACUGUGGCAAGAGCUUCCAGCAUAGUUACUCUCUGACUCGUCAUCUUCAAACUUCACAGUUUACAGAAGGAUUUAGGGAGGUGGUAGGCAAAGGUACGUUACUGAAAUGCGGGUAUGUUCUCGGCAUGGACAACGAUAAUAUUAAGU
This is a long non-coding RNA of Diceros bicornis minor, 663 nucleotides long. RefSeq lists it as uncharacterized. Lineage: Eukaryota; Metazoa; Chordata; Mammalia; Perissodactyla; Rhinocerotidae. The record is from RefSeq and is a predicted model, not a curated record. The transcript is spliced from 3 exons.